Molecule: long non-coding RNA, 240 nt
Filed under: Elaeis guineensis (African oil palm)
Lineage: Eukaryota; Viridiplantae; Streptophyta; Magnoliopsida; Arecales; Arecaceae
Description: long non-coding RNA (EGUI_LNC012059)
Source: RNAcentral
CUUUCCCUUUCCAUCGUCUCUCUCUAGUUUUUCCUCGGAUCACCUCCUUCUUCCCCUGUUGCAAGGUCCAGGUUCCACUACUUCUUUCUUUGUUUAUAUUCAAACAAUGGGAAGGUGCAAGAGGAUGGGCCCGGAAGUGCUGAGAUAUCUUCAUGCUCAUAAAACAUUAACAGUCAUUCUCUAAAAUAAUUUGGUCACGAAUAUCACAAAGGGAAUGGUUGCUGGAAAUAUCUUCCAAGG